AGUUUGCGCAGAGCAAGCGUCCAAAGGGUAUCCGUCCCCUGCGCAUCAUCUCCGUUCUUCUUAUGUUCCUUAACAUCGUCGGGAGCCUUCACCAUUUCAAACAUUAUCUUGAUCGUUUACAAGGAGAUGGCGAUAGAUUGGCGGCUCUACAUCCUAUCCUGUUCCUGAUCGCGUCCGCGUCCUUUUUCUACGAACACCAUUAUGCAACUGCGCAUCCAUCUUUCGUUCAUUGGUCACAGUGGAAAAAAAAAGAAAUGGAUUGGGAGUGGUUCAUUUGGACAGGUUUACCUCGCUUCUAACAGGCUAUGUGGGAUCUUUUGUGCGAUUAAGGAAAUACAAAUAGAUGCAUACUCAAAGGAACAGAUCAAGAAAUAAUAUUCGGAAGUAAAUUUUCUUAGUCAAUUCUCACACCCAAACAUUGUGCAAUACUAUGGAAGUAAAUUGGUAAGUUCAAUUUCAUAAGCAAAUGCAUUGCACUUGUCUCCGUGCAGCCAUGCAGUUCCCGUGCCUGUUUUUCCCUGUCAUGCAAUCUGUUCAAUGUAUACUGUUUGAUAGGAUCAUUUUUGUGAUCUGUUAAGGCCAUUUAUAUGUCCGGCACAUUGUUAACAGUUAACAAUAAAUCCAUAAAACAUAUAUAGCUGGUAUUAUAUAAAUGUGGAGUGGCAAAAUCCUGCCCUCCAAAGCAUGUAACUGCACACUGUGUGGACUUUGAUUCAACAAUUCGGAGGGUAUUAGCAUUUAGAAAUGAUAUUAUUUCCACUUGGGAGUUACAGAUAUAAGUAGAAUACUGUGAUAGUGCAACAUCUUUUGGUUGUACAGUAUAAUUCAUUAUACUUACAAUUGAAGUCCAGAGGGCAUGCAUGUAACAAAGAGGGUAAGCGGUGCUUCAAUGUUUGAUUAA
This is a long non-coding RNA of Panicum virgatum (switchgrass), 901 nucleotides long. RefSeq lists it as uncharacterized. Lineage: Eukaryota; Viridiplantae; Streptophyta; Magnoliopsida; Poales; Poaceae. The transcript has 4 exons. The record is from RefSeq and is a predicted model, not a curated record.